Molecule: non-coding RNA, 96 nt
Filed under: unclassified sequences
Description: malK-III RNA
Rfam family: malK-III RNA
Source: RNAcentral
CGAGUCGGCACCUCGUAUGGGGUCCGUUCGCGCCGCCCCGGCGGCCGGAUGCAUGGACCCGCGAUGGCCCGGCAGGGUGGAAGGAGGCCGCCCAUG